Long non-coding RNA from Ornithodoros turicata, 598 nucleotides. RefSeq lists it as uncharacterized. The transcript is spliced from 3 exons. The record is from RefSeq and is a predicted model, not a curated record. NCBI's taxonomy places the organism in Eukaryota, Metazoa, Arthropoda, Arachnida, Ixodida, Argasidae.
GAUGCCGGAUGAUUCAUUUUACAUCACAACGUUUUAGAAAGGCAGAAGUAUUCGAGUCUCCGUUUUUGUUCUUUAAAUUUGAGACAGACUUAGCCAAGGGCCUUGAGAACUUUGUAAACGCCGUGAACAUGACUACGGGGGUCAAGGAACACAGGCUGUACUACAACAGGGUGGUUACACUCGGACGAAGUUCAGGACGUUUGUCGUGGUACCAUCAACGCGCUUUCAGGCAGACGUCGACAGUUGGGUAUCUUUCCGGUUAGUCGUCGAAUCCGAGACGGAAUGGGAUCAAGACUUCGGCAACUACUUUGAGGGAUGGUUGUGUGUGCUACUUUGGGCACUCAUGGACAGGGUCGACCAAAAUAGUUUUUCUUCACCCCCAACCCUACAGCGCGUUAUCGUCUCUAGCAUUACAUCAUAAGUGAUUGCAGUUAUGCUCCUACAUUUGACCGGUAUGUGCAAACCAUUACGCGCGAUUUUAAAUUAUGCCUCAUUGUCUUACUACAGUUGAACUAUUGUCAUCGCAUUACUUCUCGUUGCAUCAGCAAGGAUUUUAUUUUAUUUUUCGCGGGCAAUAAAACAUGUGUCAAAUAUUGAA